Molecule: ribosomal RNA, 119 nt
Organism: Pteropus vampyrus (large flying fox)
Lineage: Eukaryota; Metazoa; Chordata; Mammalia; Chiroptera; Pteropodidae
Source: Ensembl
GUCUAUGGCCAGGUCACCUUGAACGUGCCCGAUCUCGUCAGAUCUUGGAACCUAAGCAGGGUUCGGCCUGGUUAGUACUUGAAUGAGAGACCACCUAGGAAGACCAGAUGCUGUAGUUC